UCCCGUGUGGUCUAGUGGUCAGAUUUCCUGGCUCUCACCCUGGCGGCCCGGGUUCGACUCCCGACAUGGGAA
RNAcentral lists this transfer RNA (72 nucleotides) under Araneus ventricosus. It matches the Rfam family "tRNA". From Rfam's summary of the family: Transfer RNA (tRNA) molecules are approximately 80 nucleotides in length. Their secondary structure includes four short double-helical elements and three loops (D, anti-codon, and T loops). Lineage: Eukaryota; Metazoa; Arthropoda; Arachnida; Araneae; Araneidae. The record is from Rfam by way of RNAcentral.